AGGGAUGUAGCUCAGUGGUAGAGCACUUGCCUAACAUAUGUGAGGCCCUGGGUUCGAUCCCUAGCACUACCA
This 72-nucleotide transfer RNA is filed under the name Heterocephalus glaber (naked mole-rat). It matches the Rfam family "tRNA". From Rfam's summary of the family: Transfer RNA (tRNA) molecules are approximately 80 nucleotides in length. Their secondary structure includes four short double-helical elements and three loops (D, anti-codon, and T loops). Lineage: Eukaryota; Metazoa; Chordata; Mammalia; Rodentia; Bathyergidae. The record is from Rfam by way of RNAcentral.